Vigna unguiculata (cowpea) is the source of this 2359-nucleotide unclassified non-coding RNA. Lineage: Eukaryota; Viridiplantae; Streptophyta; Magnoliopsida; Fabales; Fabaceae. The record is from RefSeq and is a predicted model, not a curated record.
GAGUCAUAGAAGAAAUUUUGGAGUUGCAUGAAGAAGCACUCUAUCUUCUUCUUCCCAACGAACAGAAAGAAAGAUAGCAACACAGAGCCCUAACACCUUCAUCGUCGUCAUCAUCUUCUUCUUCCUUUAACACGCUUUUCGUCUUACCAGGAUAUGGCAGCAGAUGAUGGUAUGUCAGACCCAGCAAAGCUCCCUCCAACACAGACCCAGCAAAGCUCCCUCCAACACAGACCCAGCAAUCCCAAGACCGCAACUCUUCAACCCCUUCUUCUGCUCUUCUAUCACUCCUCCCACCCCUUCCCAGAGCCCAAGCACUUCUUCUCCAAAUGGCUUCCUUAACUUCCAAGCUCUUUGAAGUUUCCCCUAACCGGUCUCUUUGGGUCACUGCCUUCCGUGGAUCCCUUCCAACUUUCCUCUUGUCUCAUUCAUCUACCCCGCUUGACGCUUCUCCAGCCACUGUAAAAGAAAUAAUUUCCCUCUUUACUGUUCUCCAAACCCAAAUAUUUGAAGCUGUUGCCGAACUCCAAGAGAUUCUUGACCUUCAAGAUGCCAAGCAGAAGAUGGACGGUGAAAUUUGUUCCCAAGAUUCAAUGAUACUUGCAUUUUCCAACAAACUCAAAGAUGCAGAAUGCUGCCUAGACAUUCUUGUCGAUGAUUACUCUGAUUAUCGCCGCUCCAAGCGAUCGAAAUCUGGAGAUGAUGAUUCCAUGACUUCAUCAACUGUCUCUUCUCAGUUGAAGCUGUCAGAUAUAUUAUCGUAUGCCCACAAGAUAAGCUACACCACCUUUGCACCUCCGGAAUUUGGAGCCGGCCAAGCUCCUCUUCGUGGUGCAUUGCCACCUGCACCGCAAGAAGAGCAAAUGAGAGCUUCUCAGUUGUAUAAUUUUGCCGACCUUGAUGUUGGAUUGCCUAAAGUCGAGUCCAAGGAUAAAAUUGUUGAAGCUAUUGUUGAGCCUCCAUCACAGAUGGGUACUAAUACAGUUCCGAAUUUGUCUGCAUUUCAAGGAAUGCUGCCUCCAGUGCCACCUGGUUGGAAGCCGGGGAUGCCUGUCCAGUUGCCUAUUGAUUUGCCACUGCCCCCGCCUGGGUGGAAACCAGGGGAUCCUGUGCCAUUGCCUCCCAUGGACUCUCUUCAAAUACCGAGAUUUGCAGAGCAACAAAUGCAACCUCACAUUCCUCAGCCCAAACAACCAGAAGUUAUUCAAGUGCAGCCAGUUAAUUUGGACCUUGGAGGAAGUGACACUAGUGACUAUAGUAGCGAUGAUGUCAGCUCUGAUGAUGAAGAUUGACAAGUUUGUUUAAACUGCUCAAUCACAAAUUGAUAACUGUACAGGCUCUAGAGAGCACAAACCAUAUCAGUGCGCAGUAACCACCAAGAUUUCAAUAAGCACUGCACCUAUACUAGUGGAGGUUGAUAUGCUCGAUGCUUAACUAUAAGUGGCAAUAAGUGAGUUUGCUGUCUCAUCAUUCAGAAUUAACGUACUCUAGAGUGAGUCUCAGUAUCAAUCAUUUAGGAUCUUGUUUUUCCUUGCACAACGGUCUAAUUUGCAUCAUUUUGUUUGAAUGAUGUUUACCAAGCACUGUCAAUUAGGAUAUUCUUCAUAUUAUUGUUGAGACACUGCCAUUGAAAUUGAAAUUGAAGUUAACCAAGCAUUUAUUUUUCUUCUUGCUUUACUAGUGCUUAGUGGUGGUGAGUUAACAUGCUAGUUGCUUUAUUACAAGUCUUUUAUAGUUGAGAUUUUAAGUUUAUCAGUCUGUGACGUUUAUAAUGUUUCGGCUCUAUUCUUUUUGUGGGGAAGGCUUCGUGGUGAUUGUUUCAUGGCUACGGAAAUGAGAGGAAAGGGGAACAAGGCUUGUAGGGAAGGAAUCUCUUGCUUUGUGUUACAAUAUAUGGUUCUUCACAAAAACUGACAGUAACUCUAACUGCCCCAUUCCUUGUGGUAAUUUCUACAAGACUACAAACAGUUUGUCUCAGUUGCUUACCUCCAGUUCUCUCUCCCUCGUAAAACUACCCUUUUUUGUUGCUAAAAUCAAGGGGAAGCCUGAUUUCAGAUUGUGAAUUCCUCUGUAUUUAUGAAAUAAUAAAGCAGUUAUAUGUCUGGGGCAUAGUGAUAAGGCCGCAUUGUGGGCAGUAUCUCACAUGGAUCAGAUAUAUCAUGAAACUAUAUGGGUAGUUCUUUAAUCUCAAUUUUAUGUCCCAUGUUUGUAUUAAAUCUGUUGUUGUUGAAGAUAAUGAUUAAUAUUUAUUUAUUUAUUUAUUUAUUUUUCUCGUGAGUACUCUAGAAUGUGCUUUGCAGUCUUGUUGAGGUAAAUGAGAAGGUGGUUAGUGAGAAAUUUUAGGAAAUUGGCUUCAAGUCUA